GACUUUAUAGUUUAUAGAAAAAUAUUAAAUUGCAAAUUUAAAGAUAUACUUUGAGUGUUAAAGUUU
RNAcentral lists this transfer RNA (66 nucleotides) under Carcinoscorpius rotundicauda (Southeast Asian horseshoe crab). Its description in RNAcentral is "tRNA-Cys". It matches the Rfam family "tRNA". From Rfam's summary of the family: Transfer RNA (tRNA) molecules are approximately 80 nucleotides in length. Lineage: Eukaryota; Metazoa; Arthropoda; Merostomata; Xiphosura; Limulidae. The record is from RNAcentral.